This 512-nucleotide ribosomal RNA is filed under the name uncultured bacterium. RNAcentral's name for it is "partial 16S ribosomal RNA". It matches the Rfam family "Bacterial small subunit ribosomal RNA", at positions 28 to 507 of the family's 1533-position model. The record is from RNAcentral.
GAUGAACGCUGGCGGCGUGCCUAAUACAUGCAAGUCGAACGAAACUUCUUUAUCACCGAGUGCUUGCACUCACCGAUAAAGAGUUGAGUGGCGAACGGGUGAGUAACACGUGGGCAACCUGCCCAAAAGAGGGGGAUAACACUUGGAAACAGGUGCUAAUACCGCAUAACCAUAGUUACCGCAUGGUAACUAUGUAAAAGGUGGCUAUACUACCGCUUUUGGAUGGGCCCGCGGCGCAUUAGCUAGUUGGUAGGGUAAAGGCUUACCAAGGCAAUGAUGGGUAGCCGGAUUGAGAGGGUGAUCGGCCACAUUGGGACUGAGACACGGCCCAAACUCCUACGGGAGGCAGCAGUAGGGAAUCUUCCACAAUGGGCGAAAGCCUGAUGGAGCAACGCCGCGUGGGUGAAGAAGGUCUUCGGAUCGUAAAACCCUGUUGUUAGAGAAGAAAGUGCGUGAGAGUAACUGUUCACGUUUCGACGGUAUCUAACCGGAAAGCCACGGCUAACUACGUG